CAAUAGCGUAUAUUUAAGUUGCUGCAGUUAAAAAGCUCGUAGUUGGAUUUCGGGUGGGAAUGGCCGGUCCGCCGUUUCGGUGUGCACUUGCUACGCCCACCUUGCUGCCGGGGACGUGCUCUUGAGUUCACGCUCGGGACACGGAGUCGGCGAGGUUACUUUGAGUAAAUUAGAGUGUUCAAAGCAGGCCUACGCUCUGAAUACAUUAGCAUGGAAUAACACGAUAGGACUCUGGCCUAUCUUGUUGGUCUGUAGGACCGGAGUAAUGAUUAAGAGGGACAGUCGGGUGCAUUCGUAUUUCAUUGUCAGAGGUGAAAUUCUUGGAUUUAUGAAAGACGAACUACUGCGAAAGCAUUUGCCAAGGAUGUUUUCAUUGA
RNAcentral lists this ribosomal RNA (377 nucleotides) under uncultured eukaryote. RNAcentral describes it as "partial 18S ribosomal RNA". It matches the Rfam family "Eukaryotic small subunit ribosomal RNA", at positions 592 to 976 of the family's 1831-position model. The record is from RNAcentral.